AAAAGCGCAGGUCCCCGCCUCGGCAGCCACGGGACACCUGCAUCUGCCAACAAGACUGGAAGCAGGUGAGGCACACAGAGGGGGAGGCCCGCAGCUGCGUGGGAGGAGGGGUGGUCUGAGGGACGUGGGAUGCCGGGAAUGAGGCUGGUUUGCAGGUUGGCGCAUGGACAUUUUCCCAGAAAGGGACAGAGACGGCGAAGUUUGACGGUCUGGAAAGCAGAGACCAGCAGGGCUGACUGCUUGGGAGGUAAGUUCUGGGGACAUGGUACAGGGUGAGGAGCAGGUAUCAGUGCUAGUUGCGACCCCUCUGUGUCUCCCCCCCGCCACCCCAUUGCCAUUCUGAAGCUCCCCAGGAAGAAGCUAGGAGGGGAAAUAAAUUGAGUGGGGGUGGGGUUUCCCAAGAAUCGGAGGAACCGAGAACGAAGAGGGGUGGGGGAACGGGGAAAGAGAGAGGAAAAUCAAGUUUUCUUCAGCACGAGGGACAGCUCUCCACCGACCGAAGGAGGAGAAUGCUAUUUAUUUCAGCACCAAAUAUCCGGACAGCGCCUCUCGGGAGGUCCGAGAAGAGAACCGCGAUCUGUUUCAGCACCGGGGCUCAGGACAGUUCCCAGCGGGCUCCGUUUCGUCUCCAGAACCCUGGACAGCUCCUCCAGGUAACGGGAGAGCCCUUUGACCCUGAUUUUGCAGGGGGAGGACGAGAGAGGGUGGUCUGAGGUGCCUGGCAUUUCUGGAGACCUGCACCUCAUGUAAUGGAUUUUUAAACAAAGUAUUUUCCAGAUAAGCACACACAGAAGUCUGCAAUUUUCUUUUUUUUUCGAGACGGAGUCUUGCUCUGUCGCCCAGGCUGGAGUGCAGUGGCACGAUCUCGGCUCACUGCAACCUCUGCCUCCUGGGUUCAAGGGAUUCUCCUGCCUCAGCCUCCCGAGUAUCUGGGAUUACAGGCACAUGCCACCACUCCCGGCUAAUUUUUGUAUUCUUAGUAGAGACGGGGUUUCACCAUGUUGGCCAGGCUGGUCUCAAACUCUUGACCUCUUCAUCCGUCCACCUCAGCCUCCCAAAGUGCUAGGAUUACAGGCGUGAGUCACUGCGCCUGGCCCAAGUCCGGAAUUUUCAACAGGUAAGAUACCUCACUGGGGUAACAGCUGCCUGCUAAGAUGACAUUAUGGUGUCUCUUCCAGACUUCGGUGAGAAACCUUGUGCCAAGCAUUUUACAUACAUCAUAUCAUGCCAUCUUCAACCCUAGGACAUGGGUGUUACUGUGCCCAUGUGACAUUUGGGGAACCCAAGGCCCUGAGAAAGGCAGAAAAAUAACCCACGCAGGGACUCUCAGCCCACAAGUGAAGCUGUAAGUCAACCCCACCAGUCCAACUCCAAAUCCCAUGUCUCUGACGUGCCUGGGUGGGAGGUGGGCCCUUGGAGAUCAGACCCUGCUUCUCUCCAGGAGAACCGGGAAUGGAAAACAGGGAGGCAGCACAGAGGCAGGAAACUCAGGUGUCAUAGCUUGGCUCAGGUGAGAAGGAGGAGCUGGGCAGGGGUCUCAGACAUGGGGCAGAGGGUGGUGAAGAAGAUUAGAGUGGCUGUGGUCUAGUGCUGUGUGGAAGACUAGUGAUUUUGUUGUUCUGAUGUACUACGACAACAAGUCACAGCCGGCCUCAUAGCGCAGACUCCCUUCGACCUUCGCCUUCAAUGGGCUGGCCAGUGGGGGAGAACCGGGGAGGUCGGGGAAGAAUCGCUUCCACUCGGAGUGGGGGGGCUGGCUCACUCCAGGCGAUACAGGCACAGGCAAAGGAGGGAAGCAAACAAGGACAUACAUCCUGUGCUCAUACAGCCAUGCACCAUGUAUGGGGUUUGUCACAUCACUCGUACGCCCCCACAAGCCUGGAGAUAGAACAUACCUGACUCUAAACCCAAGACCUCUAACCACCUUAUGGCGCUUUCCUGGGAGACCCAAUGAGGGAAUGACAUUUAAAGCCCUCCCUAGACCAGAGUUCUCAGGGUACUUUUCUAUUAAAAAAAAAAUUAUUAUUUUUUUGGCCGGGUGGCUCACGCCUGUCAUCCCAGCACUUUGGGAGGCCAAGGCAGGUGGACCACUUGAGGCCAGGAGUUCAAGACCAGCCUGGACAACAUGGUGAAACUCCAUUUCUCCUAAAAAUACAAAAAUUAGCUGGGCGUUGUGGCACACACCUGUAGUCCCAGCUACUCGGGAGGCUGAGGCAUGGGAAUCCCUUGAACCCAGGAGGCAGAGGCUGCAUGACCCAAGAUUGCACCACUGCACUCCAGCCUGGGCAACAGAGAGAGAUUCUGUCUCAAAAAACAUUUUUUUUUUCUUUUUUGUAAAGACAUGGUCUCCUGCCUCAGCCUCUCAAAGUGCCAAGAUUACAGGUGUGAGCCACCGAACCCAGCCUAAGGAUACUUUUCAAUAAAAGUUCCAGAAGUGGGCUGGGUGUGGGAGCUCAUACCUGUAAUCCUAACAUUUUGGGAGGAUGAGAUGGGAGGAUUGCUUGAGUACAGGAGUUUGAGACCAGCCUGGGCAAUAUAGUGAGACCCCGUGAGUUGACACAUGCCUGUAGUCCCAACUACUUAGGAGGUGGGAGGAACACUUGAGCCUGGGAGAUCAAGGCUGCAGUGAGCCAUGACUGCACCACUGCACUCCAGACUGGGCAACAGAACAACACCCUGUUUCAAAAAAAAAGUUUCAGAAAAGAUUCCUUUCCUGUCUGCUACCCAUCAGUGUCAUGGGCCAAUCAUAGGACAAGUGUGAACUUGUGCCCAGUGGUGACUUAUGACAUCAUAAAGGCUCACCACCUUUGCCAGACAUGGUGGCUCACACUUGUAAUCCCAGCACUUUGGGAGGCCAAGGUGGGAGGAUAGCUUGAGCUCAGGAGUUCGAGACCAGCCUGGGCAACAUAGCAAGACCUCAUCUCAGUAAAAAAUAAUAAAUAAAUAAAUAAAUAUAUAAGACUCACUCCCAAUUCUCUGCAACACCCUAAUCAAGUGAAAAACUGCACAUGGUUACCUGUUCUCCAGCCUCAGGGCUUUUGCCUCUGCUGUUCCUGCAGCUUGGAAUGCACUCCCUCCACCUCCAACCAGAGCUCCCCACAACUGACCCUGCCUUCUUCUGCAAGCUCCAUUUCAUCAAGGGAAACGAUCCUUAUUGCCUCACCAUUUCCCACGUGAAGUCUGUAUUGACAUUCUCAUAGACCUGGGAUAUUGUGUCUGCAGCACAUAGUCCAAUUAUUUUCAUGUUAUCUACUGACAGGUCUAUUUGUCUCCCUGUUACACUGUGAGCUCCGUGAGGGCAGAAACAAUGUUAGUAUUUUCACUGCUGUGUCCCCAGCGCCUGGUCCGGGGCCCGGCACACAGCAGGCAUAUAAUAAGCAUGUGUUGAAUCAAUAAAGGCAUCAAAGAAUAAACCAAUACAUCAAUCAAUAAAUGAAUGAAUGGCCUCAGCA
Molecule: long non-coding RNA, 3452 nt
Filed under: Homo sapiens (human)
Lineage: Eukaryota; Metazoa; Chordata; Mammalia; Primates; Hominidae
Description: HSALNT0395848
Rfam family: mir-7 microRNA precursor family (bases 1581-1667)
Source: RNAcentral